UCCCCAGUGCCCGCUACCCAGGGACACACAUGCUCACCCAGCAGAGUUUGCACAGCUGCUUUCGGAGCGAAUGAGGGGCCCUGGUGCAAGGCCAAUGGAAACUGGGAUGCAGCCUUUAGGAGCGAUGAGGACUUGCUGUCAGACAAGAAAAUCGCCGACUAUGUAAUGCCUGGGACUAUCACAGCAAGACCCCUGGGGCUUGGGGAAAGCCAACACCACAAACGCCUUUGUGCCCCAGCUUGUUGUACUGGGAAAGAGCCUUGAAAGUCCAUGUUUCUGAAACCAAACCUUUAUACAUGUGGAUAUCAUCCAAGCGUUGCUCUGGAUCUUACACUGGAAGGUGAACUGAGAGCAAGUUUUGGCUCAGGGUUACUACUGCUGUUUAACUCCAGAUGUCCUAGAAGUCAGGGCUGGACAUUACACUUCAGAGGAAGAGGGUUCACCUACUCGUGUUGCUCCAGUGAGCAGAGAUGUUUCUGCAGCAGAACGACUGUCCAGUGGGCACUCAAGUGCUAAACGGGAGCAGACAUCACCCUUCGGAAAUGCCUUGCCUGGAUCCUUGCCUGCCCUUCCCAGCGGGAAGCUGCCUGAAGGCUGGACCACCAGCCAGCAGGACCGGGAAAGGUGCACACAGGAAGAUGCUCUCUGUCCAUAUUUAGUUUUAUAGGACCUACAAAACACAGUGCUACACAGGCUGUACUUCAGCUGCAUCCCCAUCGGUUUGGCAUUUACCUCCAUAGACACAGUAUUCUUGCAGCACACACAAAAAAAUGCCUUUCUUGAUGCAACUGUUUAUUCCCUGAAGGCACCAUAUGGGACAGAAACCUCAGAGAAAGGGAAACAAACUGUACUUUUCCAUGCGACUCCAAUUAUUAAUAUUCCAGUAUUGGCCGAGCACUUGUAGAGCUGUAAUGAGAACAUCCUCUUAUGCGCCAUUUCCAGAAUUUAUGCACAACAAGCAAUACAUAAAUAUCAAUUAAUGAAGCAACUACAGAAAAAUUAAUUAAAACAUGAGAGGAUAGAAGCCUCUAUUCAGCCCCCUAAAAAGGAAAGACAUGUUCACAAACCCCUCCCUCCUGCUCAGAAGAAAGCUCUCAGUUCCAGAGGAAGGAAACCAUUAAUUUUUUUUAAUUGCACAAUACUUUUAAAUUAAUUUCCAUAAGCACCACAAACAGCAAAUGGGGGAGGGAAAAUCAAAGAUUUCACAAUUAAAUUAGUACUUGGGAGCUGUCUCUUGCUUGUUGGUUACGAUCCAAACUCCCUAUAUCCCGUAACUUGACUGUGGUGACAGACGUGCAGACAGCAAGCGGCAGCCUGGCUGUAGUCCUCCAUGAAGUCCAUGAUGUCAUGGCUUUACUAAUGGCACCUAAACCUAUAAAUCCACAGCUAUAACCACUAACACUUUAAUUAGCCUAAAUUAAAAUUAAACACUGUAAAAGAAGACAACUGAAGGUGAAAUCCAGACAUGGAGAGGUUGCAUUUUUUUUCUGCCCGGUGUUUCAGCCACAAUCUGGACAGGGUUUGCCAGCAGAAGGUGGCAAGCGGAGUUGGCCCCGUCUCCAGCGCAGCCACAGGAGCCUCUCCAUCGACCGUCCCGAGACAGAGCUCAUCCUGCUGGAAGGAAACGAUGAACAAAGCAGGGAAAUGGGCAAGGAGCAGCUCAUGGGCUGGUCAGGCGGAGAGCCAUGGACCAUGCUUGGCAGCCAGCAUGGGCAGGCUGGAAAACCUCCUGCAACCUGCUCUCCCUCCCCCCACCCCCCCCGAGAUGACAUCUGCAACUCUAUUUUCCUUUUUUCUGUGUGUCACGGUGAUCAUCCCUUUGGGUUCCCGAAGAGGCACGAGCUGUCCUGGUGCCAAGGAGCUGACAGCCACAGUCAGCCAGGCACUGGACUUCAAGACCAUCGAUUGCAAACUGCAAACCACUCUGAUCCUGUUUUUCCUCAGACUUUUCCAGCUGAGAGCCAGGGAUGCCUGUUCACUUUCAGUGGAGAAAAAGUGGAUCAGCGUGACUGCCUUUUAUAGAAAAAUAACUGGAAAAUAGGACAACUCAAUGAUGCUUUUCCUGCUUUUCCAAGAUGUGCAUGAGACCUGCACGCACAGAGGGGAUGACCGCACUAACACUAGGAUAAAUAAAAGCCACACUGUCCUCUGCACAGCUGUAUACAUCUAAAUGAUUAAAAUACUAAAUCUUGGGGGCUCAGGGUGCUCCAAGUGACCAACUUAGUGGAAGACCUCUCCAGUGCCUCCCGAGCAUCCCCUCACCCCCCCCCGGUGACCAUUACAGCAGUGUUUGCUGUACACCGCAGUGCUCUACAGAAACGCUAGUUCAUGGACACAUGGCUUAUCGGUUACAUUACAAAAACAUCAGCACUAACACUACGCGCUUACUUACCGCCUUUUAUCUGAGGGACUGAAAGCGUUGGACCCUCAUUAACCGUAGCAACCAUAAUGACAAUAUUUUAUUUCGCCAGCACCCAGUGCUGAGGUUCCUGAGUGUUUUUCUUCAGGCAGCACCCUAUUGACUUUGCGUGCGGCUGGAGGUUUGCCCAGCUUGGUGCCGAAAAUCGGUUCGAGCCAGCACUUCAGGAACUGAUCAACGCUGCUUUCAUCCCAGGAGUUCAAGGUGCUUAGCGAACAACUGAACUUCAUUUGACCUACAAAAUACAGUAUGUUUUACUGCAUCUACCUCAAAGACUGGUGAACGGAUGCAGAUUUGCUAAAAAUCACUGCACAUGUGAGCCCGGGUGUCAGGAAAGAGCUGCCGAAGGCACCGACCUCCAGGCCAUGCCUCGUCCCCAGCCAUCCCCUCCUGCCCUGCCCAGGCAAAGGCCACUGCUGCCUUCCUAACACUUUCCCUCCUCGGCUAGGAGCUGCUCUCAGAUUAUUUUGCCUUCUACAGUUAUUUAUUUAACAUCAAAACCACUAUCCAUUAACCACUAAUGGGUAAAAAUAGUAAUAUUUUGCAUGGGCCUGGGGUUUCCUCCUCAAAGAUCUUUACAAACAGUAUGAAACCAAUUCUCACAGCGAGGCGGGCAGGUCAGUACCUACAUUAAUGUAUAUGUAUUCCCGCAAAUGGCUGGGGAUGAUGUUCAGGAUUUACAACUGUACAACUGAGAACUCCGUCAAGACCUGGGGACGGCAGCGGUUGGGUCACGACCAGAGCUCAGGGUUACCAGAGUCCCCAGCUGCGGCAGGGUGAACCCAGCCUGCGGCUUUAUUACGCCCAGACCACGUUAUUUUGCUCUUUUCCCUUCUUUCUGUCCCUGUCAGAGGUACUUAGAGCUGUGCUAAUAGCAGCUGGUUCAUCAAUCCCCUCCCUGCUGGCAGGGAGUAGCUGUGCCUGGGGCCGUGGCCGAGCAUCCCAGUGGCAGUCAGCCGCGGCGAGCAGUGCCACGGCUCUGCCUCCACCAGGGACCACGACGCCUUCGCUGCCUGCAACCCUGCCUGGCGUCAGCUCACACGCCGGGACGAAGCAGGGCGUAGAGCCUGUUUCCUCAUUUAACAGAACUUGUUAAUUUUUCUCGUUUAUAACCUGCAGCAUUAUCAGCAGCAAAUUACCGCUAUCGAUAACUCAUUAGCAAAUAAAAUGAAAGACAAUGCCACUGACAUCUGUAUGAAGCCAUGUCUGAGUGGCUCUGGCUCCUGCUUAUUGGGCUUUUAGUAUUCAUUAAGGCCGGUAAACGGUAUGUGCUUAAAAUGCUGAUCUACGCAGCAUGUGUUGAACUCUCAAUCUGCAUUAGCUGAGACAGCGGCUUAUACCAACUCUGCUGCCUAACUAACUUGAUUUAUCAUAGUUUCCUAAGCUCUGUUUAUGAGGCUGUUUUGUUUGUAACGACUUAAUAUUUUUUUCACAUGGGAGAAUUUAUCAACAUCUGUGCAUCACAUUGCAUCGGGCGUCCGGGUGGCCUUGAUUGUACUUGUAAUGCCAGAGCAGAGCUGGGGUGGUGAGUUGCUCUGCCGGGAACCCUGUGACUGCUUUCCAAAUGACAGCUAAUUUAAAAGGUGGUGCUUCCUCUGGCUGUUAGUCUCGAUAGAAGGAAAAACACAUUAUCAUUUCCUCUCCUGUCCUUUCUCCGUCUCGUUGAGAAAAAGGAGCGCAGGCAGCGAGAAAGGCAGUUGGGCUGGGGAACUCCCUUCGAUGGGUUGCCAGCCAGGUCAAGCGGCAGAUUAAAAGAUGGGUUGGACAUCAGUACUGAUAAAAAAUGUUAUUUGUGCGUGCCACUAGGCACUGAGCACGCGGGAUACUAUUCUGACAUUGACUGUGUCCUCUCCAGCCAAUUUGACCCUGACCAGAUAAGACGCUCUGUGCUGUUCUGGCUCCUCUUAUCUCUUAAGGCUGCAGCCCCAUCACAUCAAGGGUACGCAGAAACUGUUCCUUAGCACGUGUACCCGCAACAUUUUCACCUGGUGCCCUCAAAACCUGGCUCACAGUCUCCCAAAAGCGUGACCUCAGAGACACUUUGUGCAAGGCAUAUUGCUAUUAUGCAAAGACCGGCCAUCUUAUAGAGGCUUAAUGAUAUAAUCAAGUGUCUUCCAGUGGCCUUGGGAUCCUUUCUGGCUUCUCUUUUGCAAACUGAGGCAGGAAUUCCUGAGAAGGAAUUCCCUUACAGAGAAAACGUCUCUAUGCAUUUAUGGCUUUGGGGGUUUUUUAAAGUCAGGAAAAAAAAAGCUAAAUAUUAAAACAUCAGAAGCUUUCUCUGAUAGGGGAUUACAUCCAGCUUUACUAGAAAUAUGUGUGGUUUCCUACUUAUCUGCCUCCAAGGGUGGAAGACAGACAUCAGUGUCUCCAGAGAGGCUGGGAUGGAAACAUCAGAUAACCUAAUUGUGAAACGCUUUGGGCUUAGAGCACACAAGGCUCUUCUGGGUCUUGCUGAUGGCAUUGGGAGCUUAUGUCGGUGGCAGAUAUGAACCCAAACCACUGGGCUCCCCACAACGCCUGCCUCGAAAAACCUUCAAGGUGGUGGCACCUUUUCAGGCCCCCGCGCUGCCUGGCUCCUCGGCUGGUUUCACCCUGCAGCAGGAGAGCACCUUCUGUCCGAGCUGCGUCCUCGCUCCUUAGCAAACACGUCCCCCUUCCCAUGUGAGAGGGAGUUUCCACUGCCGUCAGCUAGCCUCAUGGCUAUUUUGCAAUAGCAGUAUGUGAGAACAAAGGCUCCAAGUUCCUGAAAUAAAUGUAGGGUUUUUUUCAUGACGAUUAGAGUAUUUCUGUGGAGGAAUUGCUCCUCCCUGCAUUGUCUAUAGCUUUGCAUGCCUUGAAGGCUGCCUUUGGAAAGUCCAUAUGUAUUUCAUACCAUUAAACAUUUGGAUCAAGAUUUUGAUCCACAACAUAAUGCCACUAUUAUUAUUGUUUUUAUUACUCUGUUUCCAUGUGCAUUUGGGGGACUUCGGUUCUUAAAAAGAAAGAUCAGCGUGUGGCCCUGUUACAAGGUCACACCUUGGAAAAAAUGAAGGGUGACACAUGCACAGUACCAGAGAAAUCCUUGACAUAUUCCUUUUAAAGGUGAUACCAACAACAAUAUUUAGUAUGAGCAAUUUCUGUUUGGAACAGACAGCAAAAGUUUCCCUAUUUUCAAGCAGAAUAAUAGCUCUGCUUUUUGUCUGUUCUCAGUAAUUUAGACUAAAUGAAAUAUGGUGCGUGGGUAACACAGGUACUUUUUUCACCAUUAGGAAAAUUCCCAGUUAUUGGGAAAUUUCUUUGGCUGGACCAUAGACAAAAAUCAAGGAAGAUGACUAUUCUUCUGACUUGGAAAAAAUAAAUAUUUGAUGCUGCUAUUCAGAAGCUGACUGACCCACAUGAAAAAGCCACCUUUGAGCUGCACAGGGCAUCAGUAAGGGGAAUAGAGAACCAAGGUGCUGCUCAUCCAAUUUCAGAUCUCUUCAUGCAUCAGAUCGGUGUCACAGCAAUGGGUAGCAGUAGUCCUCUUGUAAACACACUUUACUAGGUCACACAGCACAUUUGUUUCCAAUUUACUUAUUCCUGGAAUUUGGCAUAUAACUUCUUAUCCACAGCGUCUGCGGAAAGUUUUAUUAGAAGGGGAAAAGCAGUGAAUAAGAGUCACCAGUCCUGGAUUUGAUUCCUGGCUUGGCCACUAACUCAGGCCAUCAUUAUGCCAGCCACUUGGUUAUCUGGCUUCAUGCAUAAAGACUUGCAGGGCUGGGGCAAUAAUACAGGACUUUGGGGGAACAUCUCUUUGUCUCUCCAUUUACCCACAUAUAAGAUAUCUCUAAGAAUACUUCUCUCCCAAGGUUGAGCUGACAUUUAUGGGUUUGCUUGGAAAUCUUGGAGGGGAAGUGUUAUUAAAGCACAGAGAAUGAUUAUUAACUGAUGGAAAGGUAUUUUAAUGAAAUAUGUUGGCAAGCUUCCCUUUACUGUACAGUGCCAGUGUUAAAUAGGCUGCUUGAAGAGCUGCAUAUCUUCGCUUUCGGAGUGACUGGCUGAGAAAUAAUCAGAGCUGCUUCCCCCAGCGCACUUGUUGCUAGGUCGUUCUUGUUUCUUGCUGUCUCCUCAAUAAAUUCACUGUCAGCUCAAAAGCUGAAGGAAUCCGUAGUUGUAACAUGUAAUCCUUAAACGAGUUUCUCACCGUUGGGAAGCAUUUCUCUGGUGGUCCAAAUGACACGUACUCCCCUUACAUGACCAGCCCCAGAAGCUCAGCCAGCUCUGUGUCCCAAAAGCUCUCACUGGUCCCAACUGCUCCAUGGCAUCUGCGCUUUGGCUUAGCCCGUGCAGGAUAAACGGCGAAGGGAUGCAAAGGGAAUCAGAAGAGAUGCAGAGACAUGAUUUUUUGGGGGAUGAAUUUCUUAGGAAGCAUCGGUGGUGCUGGUGGCAUGAAGCUAAGCUGGGGUCUGACACCAUCACGGUAGUGCGGGGUGAUCCCUCACCCGCCCAGUCCCCGGGCAUGGUCCCUCUUUGUGAGGUUUGGGUUUGUUUCACUUGUGUGAAGUUGUUUUCCAGCUGCGGAAAGCACGAGGAAGCAGUGGUCAUUCGUGAAGGUCGAUGAGCAGACUUGCAGCAAGCAGUUAAGCUUUCCCCAGCCCUUGGAGCAGCUGUGCUGGAGAUGGGAAACUGCUGCAAGUUCUCUUGCAACUG
Molecule: long non-coding RNA, 7087 nt
Organism: Harpia harpyja (harpy eagle)
Lineage: Eukaryota; Metazoa; Chordata; Aves; Accipitriformes; Accipitridae
Exons: 4
Source: RefSeq, a predicted model, not a curated record